AGACCUCUUUCGGCAAAGAAUUAUACCACAAAGCCCCAACUAGGUACUACCACUUAUAGGAGUCUUCUUUGCUAGUAGAAUGCCCCCACGAGAAGAAUAUUGGGAUGCUUACGCUCUCGUUAGACGUGACAGUCAGUUAUAGUGGGUAAACUAACAAAGGGAAUAGAUGCUAACUUGAGAGCACAAAAGUCUGAUUUAGCACCAGUGAAGGAUUAGGUCAUAUCUGAGAUGCAAUACCAGGGUGCUAGUUUGAGACAGAAGAUCAGGAUACUCAGGUUCAGGUUAUUUAUUAGAUAUGUUAGGUUCCAUUUGUUGAAUUAUCACAUGAAUUUGCUCCAUGAACUAUGCUCCCUAGAUGGGGAAGACUAGUUAUCAUUAUAACUUAAUUACGGUAUCCAUGGAUAGGACUUCAAACUUAGGUCUUCCAUCUAAUUUAAUCUAUAAAUAAUUGCAAUGUUGAGCAAAUUGUCAUAAUGUGAAACUUAGGACCUCUGGUAGG
RNAcentral lists this long non-coding RNA (499 nucleotides) under Nicotiana benthamiana. RNAcentral's name for it is "long non-coding RNA (NBEN_LNC025194)". The record is from RNAcentral. Lineage: Eukaryota; Viridiplantae; Streptophyta; Magnoliopsida; Solanales; Solanaceae.